UUUCCCGCCUAUAUACCGCCGUCCGUCAGCUUACCCUGUGAAGGCUUAAUAGUAAGCAAAAUUGGCAUAGCCCAAAACGUCAGGUCGAGGUGUAGUGUAUGAGAGGGGAAGAAAUGGGCUACAUUCGCUAACUACUAGCGAAAACGAAUAAUGCAUUGAAAAAUGCUAUUGAAGGUGGAUUUAGUAGUAAGCGGGAAAUAGAGUGUCCCACUGAACCCGGCCCUAAAGCGCGUACACACCGCCCGUCACCCUCUCCUAUCCCAUUUCCCCUUUUUCCUAAAACACUAACAUACACUUAAGGAGAGGAAAGUCGUAACAUGGUAAGCGUAUCGGAAGAUGCGCUUGGUACAAAU
Molecule: ribosomal RNA, 353 nt
Filed under: Leptomelanosoma indicum (Indian threadfin)
Lineage: Eukaryota; Metazoa; Chordata; Actinopteri; Polynemidae
Description: partial 12S ribosomal RNA
Rfam family: Bacterial small subunit ribosomal RNA
Source: RNAcentral